UAAGGAAUAUUGGUCAAUGGACGCAAGUCUGAACCAGCCAUGCCGCGUGAAGGAUUAAGGUCCUCAGGAUUGUAAACUUCUUUUAUCUGGGAAGAAACUCUCGAUUUCCAUCGGGAUUGACGGUACCAGAGGAAUAAGCACCGGCUAACUCCGUGCCAGCAGCCGCGGUAAUACGGAGGGUGCAAGCGUUAUCCGGAUUUACUGGGUUUAAAGGGUGCGUAGGCGGGCAGGUAAGUCUGUGGUGAAAUCUCCGAGCUUAACUCGGGAACUGCCAUGGAUACUAUUUGUCUUGAAUACCGUGGAGGUGAGCGGAACAUGGCAUGUAGCGGUGAAAUGCUUAGAUAUGCCAUAGAACACCUAUUGCGAAGGCAGCUCACUACACGGUGAUUGACGCUGAGGC
RNAcentral lists this ribosomal RNA (400 nucleotides) under uncultured bacterium. RNAcentral's name for it is "bacterial SSU rRNA". It matches the Rfam family "Bacterial small subunit ribosomal RNA", at positions 355 to 752 of the family's 1533-position model. The record is from RNAcentral.